Molecule: ribosomal RNA, 428 nt
Filed under: uncultured bacterium
Lineage: Bacteria
Description: bacterial SSU rRNA
Rfam family: Bacterial small subunit ribosomal RNA
Source: RNAcentral
UCGAGAAUUUUUCGCAAUGGGGGAAACCCUGACGGAGCGACGCCGCGUGGAGGAUGAAGGUCUUCGGAUUGUAAACUCCUGUCAUUGGUGAACAAGGUACUGCCGGUAACUACGGUGGUGCUUGCUAGUAGCCGAAGAGGAAGGGACGGCUAACUCUGUGCCAGCAGCCGCGGUAAUACAGAGGUCCCGAGCGUUGUUCGGAUUCAUUGGGCGUAAAGGGUGCGUAGGCGGUCUUCUAAGUUUGAUGUGAAAUUCCGGGGCUCAACCCUGGCAUGGCAUUGAAUACUGGAGGACUAGAGUACCGGAGAGGAAACUGGAAUUUACGGUGUAGCAGUGAAAUGCGUAGAGAUCGUAAGGAAGACCAGUGGCGAAGGCGAGUUUCUGGACGGUAACUGACGCUGAGGCACGAAGGCCAGGGGAGCAAACGG